Molecule: long non-coding RNA, 911 nt
Filed under: Homo sapiens (human)
Lineage: Eukaryota; Metazoa; Chordata; Mammalia; Primates; Hominidae
Description: non-protein coding lnc-KIAA1755-13:1
Source: RNAcentral
AUCCAGAAUUGAUUAAUAUGGUGAAGGAAAGGCAUUAGAAGUAACUGAAUACCUGACCUAAUUCUCAAGGAAUCAGUUUAAGGAAACAGCUGUUACCACCCCAAAAGAGUUUAUGGCAGCUGGAGAUCACUUAGCUGUCCACUGCCCGACACAGCAAUGGGCUACAGGGGAAGAACUGAAAAGAGAGGCAUAGCUACCAACAGGCAAAUAAUUUUUGGUAGCCAAAAAUGUGGCAUGCUACAUCCAGUCAAAACAGAUGGCAUAUUCAGGUGAAUUGGAAGCUAUCACUGAAGAUGAUGGUGGUAGGGCCUGGGUAGAUACACAUCACAGCACAGGAAUUGCAGGAAUAAACAAAUAGGUUGAGGAGAUUAUACUUACAAGCAAAAAUGGUAUAAAACUCGAAAACUGCUCAGUCUUAUGAGAGGAAGAAGAAAAAGAUGAAGGAAAAUCUACAUUUAUGGAAUAAUAUGAAGAGAGUGGGUUGCUGGAAGCAGAUAAAGCUACCCUAGAUGAAAGGAAAAUAGAAGAAGCUUGUAAAGCUUAAAGUGAUGUUGGAGGUGAAGAUGCUCUUUUGCAAACCAAAACUUGUGACCUUUACAUCACAUAUGGUAAAUAUUACCAGAUGGCACAACUAUGGUUUUUUGGCUAUGAUGAGGAACAGCAGAUUUUCACAGCUGAACACAUGUAUAAAGACAUCAUUCAAGACCAUGUGAAGAAAACAGUGACCACUGAAAAUCCCUCCACCAAUCUCCCUCCACCUCCUAUGAGAUAAUGGAGAAAAUCAUUAAGACUACUGCAGAAAAAAGGGGAGAACAUUUGGUGUUCACGUGUAUCUUCUAAUUUUCUUGAAAUAUGUGCACACUGUCAUUCCAACCACAGCAUAUGACCAUAAAAGACACUUCACAAUGUAA